AGUCGAGCGCGACCUUCGGGUUGAGCGGCGGACGGGUUAGUAACGCGUGGGAAUAUGCCCGGUACUAAGGAAUAGCCUCUGGAAACGGAGAGUAAUACCUUAUACGCCCUUCGGGGGAAAGAUUUAUCGGUAUCGGAUUAGCCCGCGUUAGAUUAGGUAGUUGGUGGGGUAAUGGCCUACCAAGCCUACGAUCUAUAGCUGGUUUUAGAGGAUGAUCAGCAACACUGGGACUGAGACACGGCCCAGACUCCUACGGGAGGCAGCAGUGGGGAAUCUUAGACAAUGGGCGCAAGCCUGAUCUAGCCAUGCCGCGUGUGUGAUGAAGGCCUUAGGGUCGUAAAGCACUUUCGCCAGGGAUGAUAAUGACAGUACCUGGUAAAGAAACCCCGGCUAACUCCGUGCCAGCAGCCGCGGUAAUACGGAGGGGGUUAGCGUUGUUCGGAAUUACUGGGCGUAAAGCGCGCGUA
This 467-nucleotide ribosomal RNA is filed under the name uncultured Paracoccaceae bacterium. Its description in RNAcentral is "bacterial SSU rRNA". It matches the Rfam family "Bacterial small subunit ribosomal RNA", at positions 60 to 573 of the family's 1533-position model. Lineage: Bacteria; Pseudomonadati; Pseudomonadota; Alphaproteobacteria; Rhodobacterales; Paracoccaceae. The record is from RNAcentral.